Molecule: ribosomal RNA, 1116 nt
Filed under: Enterococcus faecalis
Lineage: Bacteria; Bacillati; Bacillota; Bacilli; Lactobacillales; Enterococcaceae
Description: partial 23S ribosomal RNA
Rfam family: Bacterial large subunit ribosomal RNA
Source: RNAcentral
UACGGCGGAACACGAGAAAUUCCGUCGGAAUCCGCGGGGACCAUCCCGCAAGGCUAAAUACUCCCUAGUGACCGAUAGUGAACCAGUACCGUGAGGGAAAGGUGAAAAGCACCCCGGAAGGGGAGUGAAAUAGAUCCUGAAACCGUGUGCCUACAACAAGUCAAAGCUCGUUAAUGAGUGAUGGCGUGCCUUUUGUAGAAUGAACCGGCGAGUUACGAUUGCAUGCGAGGUUAAGUCGAAGAGACGGAGCCGCAGCGAAAGCGAGUCUGAAUAGGGCGAAUGAGUAUGUAGUCGUAGACCCGAAACCAUGUGAUCUACCCAUGUCCAGGUUGAAGGUGCGGUAAAACGCACUGGAGGACCGAACCCACGUACGUUGAAAAGUGCGGGGAUGAGGUGUGGGUAGCGGAGAAAUUCCAAACGAACUUGGAGAUAGCUGGUUCUCUCCGAAAUAGCUUUAGGGCUAGCCUCGGAAUUGAGAAUGAUGGAGGUAGAGCACUGUUUGGACUAGGGGCCCAUCUCGGGUUACCGAAUUCAGAUAAACUCCGAAUGCCAUUCAUUUAUAUCCGGGAGUCAGACUGCGAGUGAUAAGAUCCGUAGUCGAAAGGGAAACAGCCCAGACCACCAGCUAAGGUCCCAAAAUAUAUGUUAAGUGGAAAAGGAUGUGGGGUUGCACAGACAACUAGGAUGUUGGCUUAGAAGCAGCCACCAUUUAAAGAGUGCGUAAUAGCUCACUAGUCGAGUGACCCUGCGCCGAAAAUGUACCGGGGCUAAACAUAUUACCGAAGCUGUGGACUACACCAUUAGGUGUAGUGGUAGGAGAGCGUUCUAAGGGCGUUGAAGGUCGAUCGUGAGGACGGCUGGAGCGCUUAGAAGUGAGAAUGCCGGUAUGAGUAGCGAAAGACAGGUGAGAAUCCUGUCCACCGUAUGACUAAGGUUUCCUGGGGAAGGCUCGUCCGCCCAGGGUUAGUCGGGACCUAAGCCGAGGCCGAUAGGCGUAGGCGAUGGACAACAGGUUGAUAUUCCUGUACCAGUUGUUUUUGUUUGAGCAAUGGAGGGACGCAGUAGGCUAAGGAAUGCAUGCGAUUGGAAGUGCAUGUCCAAGCAAUGAGUCUUGAG